UUCCAUCGCUCAGUCAAGGCUCCUUUUUGCAACAUCCUGCAAUUUCCAAUGAAAGAGCGCCUGUUACAGCUUUGGUACAUUGACCUGUGCUUGCCGCUUUUGCCUGGUGUAAAUGUGGUUCUGGAUCUACCUGCCGUCUUGGAAAGUCUGUCCUCAAAGCCAUGGGUGUCUCGUUUGAGUUGAGAUUGCUUUCGCUUGUUUGCGUUCCUGCAUAGCACCUCUCUUAGUAACGUUCCACACAAUU
RNAcentral lists this small nucleolar RNA (244 nucleotides) under Endocarpon pusillum Z07020. RNAcentral describes it as "Small nucleolar RNA snR191". It matches the Rfam family "Small nucleolar RNA snR191". Lineage: Eukaryota; Fungi; Ascomycota; Eurotiomycetes; Verrucariales; Verrucariaceae. The record is from Rfam by way of RNAcentral.